CUCCUUUCAGUUUCACAGUUUCUCUCUUUCACCACUUCCAAUCAAUUCUAAAGAGAAACCAAGUGAGAGGGUGAAGCUUCGAGGAGAAGUUGCUGUGAUUUUCUUUUAACUAACAGAAGAAGCAUCAAGGGAGGUCUUUGGACGUCGUUUAAGACCAAGUCGAGGAACUUUCGGUUAAGGAAUUGCAUUUUGAGGGCCGCAAACCCUACUCGGAUUAGUGUACACAUAUGGAGAUCUUGAACUAGCCUUCGAG
This is a long non-coding RNA of Salvia splendens (bonfire salvia), 253 nucleotides long. RefSeq lists it as uncharacterized. The record is from RefSeq and is a predicted model, not a curated record. The transcript is spliced from 3 exons. Lineage: Eukaryota; Viridiplantae; Streptophyta; Magnoliopsida; Lamiales; Lamiaceae.